AUUGAACGCUGGCGGCAGGCCUAACACAUGCAAGUCGAGCGGAUGAGGGGAGCUUGCUCCUUGAUUCAGCGGCGGACGGGUGAGUAAUGCCUAGGAAUCUGCCUGGUAGUGGGGGACAACGUUUCGAAAGGAACGCUAAUACCGCAUACGUCCUACGGGAGAAAGCAGGGGACCUUCGGGCCUUGCGCUAUCAGAUGAGCCUAGGUCGGAUUAGCUAGUAGGUGGGGUAAUGGCCCACCUAGGCGACGAUCCGUAACUGGUCUGAGAGGAUGAUCAGUCACACUGGAACUGAGACACGGUCCAGACUCCUACGGGAGGCAGCAGUGGGGAAUAUUGGACAAUGGGCGAAAGCCUGAUCCAGCCAUGCCGCGUGUGUGAAGAAGGUCUUCGGAUUGUAAAGCACUUUAAGUUGGGAGGAAGGGCAGUUAGUUAAUACCUGACUGUUUUGACGUUACCAACAGAAUAAGCACCGGCUAACUUCGUGCCAGCCGCCGCCGUAA
Molecule: ribosomal RNA, 500 nt
Filed under: uncultured bacterium
Lineage: Bacteria
Description: partial 16S ribosomal RNA
Rfam family: Bacterial small subunit ribosomal RNA
Source: RNAcentral